Long non-coding RNA from Mercurialis annua (annual mercury), 907 nucleotides. RefSeq lists it as uncharacterized. The transcript has 2 exons. NCBI's taxonomy places the organism in Eukaryota, Viridiplantae, Streptophyta, Magnoliopsida, Malpighiales, Euphorbiaceae. The record is from RefSeq and is a predicted model, not a curated record.
GACUUAAAAUAAUCCCAAUAAUACCGCCCGGCCAUUCCACUUUUAAAAUUACUGUUCACUUUCAUCUGCUUUAAUUUUUAUGCUUUUAUUUUACGGUUUUUUGUUGAAAAACGUUGAGAUAUACGGAUCUAUGAUUUCUGCGAUGAAUCUGCCCAUGGAUGUUUACAAACUCCUCUAUAUCUGGGUUCUUUUCCAUUAUUGUUAUUUUGUUGAGUAACAGGUACAGAUUCGUUCGGUUCCGCCAUCGCCGCUGCUACGGAGGCGGCAUCUCUUCCUAUCGUCUGUUAAGCAUCCUAAUGAUUCCACCAUUAUUCUUCUCUUUCUUUACCCAUGAUAGUUUGGGUUCCUUUCUUGUUGUUUGAUAGCAAAUCGACGCGCCGAUUAAGAUUCUUGCCAAUGUUUAUGAGCAGGAGGUGUUCUCAUUUCCACUGAAUUUUUAAACUUUUGUUGAUUGUUGUUCUUUUUUUUUUUUUUUUGAUUUUAAUUUUUCAUUUUCAAAUUUUGAGGCAUCUGCUAGAGGAAACUGCUGCCUUGCGUGGUAGCCAUAGUGAAGCUUGUGCAUCUUCUUGAUACUGGAUACUCAUCACUGACAAUUGCUUUGGUUCUACCAGAAUCAGAUUAUUUAGUUUCCCGUGAAAAGAAUGGUAUGGCAGUAGACAUUUUGCAAGUAUCUAGAAAAUUUAUAUCUCUUGGUUCAUGAUGAUUAGGUCAUUCUUUCGGUAGCAACAUUAAGUACCAAAUCAAGAAGAAGAAAAAGAACAAGAGCAGGAGCAGCAUUAUGUUUUGGUGUUAGUAGAAGUAGUAACUGCCGGAAAGAGUAGAUCCUGCAAUUUGUAAAAUGUUCAUUACAAACUGACAUUUGUGUUAUGUGACUCAAUUCAAUACAAAUAAUGAAGACUUAUGUAAA